RNAcentral lists this ribosomal RNA (400 nucleotides) under Bifidobacterium bifidum. Its description in RNAcentral is "bacterial SSU rRNA". It matches the Rfam family "Bacterial small subunit ribosomal RNA", at positions 375 to 786 of the family's 1533-position model. The record is from RNAcentral. Lineage: Bacteria; Bacillati; Actinomycetota; Actinomycetes; Bifidobacteriales; Bifidobacteriaceae.
GCGCAGCCUGAUGCAGCGACGCCGCGUGAGGGAUGGAGGCCUUCGGGUUGUAAACCUCUUUUGUUUGGGAGCAAGCCUUCGGGUGAGUGUACCUUUCGAAUAAGCGCCGGCUAACUACGUGCCAGCAGCCGCGGUAAUACGUAGGGCGCAAGCGUUAUCCGGAUUUAUUGGGCGUAAAGGGCUCGUAGGCGGCUCGUCGCGUCCGGUGUGAAAGUCCAUCGCUUAACGGUGGAUCUGCGCCGGGUACGGGCGGGCUGGAGUGCGGUAGGGGAGACUGGAAUUCCCGGUGUAACGGUGGAAUGUGUAGAUAUCGGGAAGAACACCGAUGGCGAAGGCAGGUCUCUGGGCCGUCACUGACGCUGAGGAGCGAAAGCGUGGGGAGCGAACAGGAUUAGAUACC